RNAcentral lists this ribosomal RNA (468 nucleotides) under uncultured bacterium. RNAcentral's name for it is "SSU rRNA". It matches the Rfam family "Bacterial small subunit ribosomal RNA", at positions 26 to 518 of the family's 1533-position model. The record is from RNAcentral.
AGGACGAACGCUGGCGGCGUGCUUAACACAUGCAAGUGGAGCGACGAACCAGGGCUUGCCCUGGGGCAGAGCCGCGAACGGGUGAGUAACACGUGGGUUACCUGCCUCGAUGACCGGGACAACCCGAGGAAACUCGGGCUAAUACCGGAUGUGCCCGCAAGGGGAAAGGAAGCUUCGGCCUCCGCAUCGAGAUGGGCCCGCGGCCCAUUAGCUUGUUGGUGAGGUAACGGCUCACCAAGGCUUCGAUGGGUAGCUGGUCUGAGAGGACGAUCAGCCACACUGGGAUUGAGAACGGCCCAGACUCCUACGGGGGGCAGCAGUGAGGAAUUUUCGGCAAUGGGGGGCAACCCUGACCGAGCAACGCCGCGUGCAGGAUGACAGUCUUCGGAUUGUAAACUGCUUUUCUCGGGGACGAGUAAGGACGGUACCCGAGGAAGAAGCCCCGGCUAACUACGUGCCAGCAGCCGC